AGGGGGGAAUUUUCCGCAAUGGGCGAAAGGCCUGACGGAGCAAUGCCGCGUGGAGGUGGAAGGCCUACGGGUCGUCAACUUCUUUUCUCGGAGAAGAAACAAUGACGGUAUCUGAGGAAUAAGCAUCGGCUAACUCUGUGACAG
RNAcentral lists this ribosomal RNA (144 nucleotides) under uncultured bacterium. RNAcentral's name for it is "partial 16S rRNA". It matches the Rfam family "Bacterial small subunit ribosomal RNA", at positions 353 to 511 of the family's 1533-position model. The record is from RNAcentral.